GAGCUUGCUUCAUCAGCACAUAUAUGAAAAUUGAAAGACUAUAGAGAAGAUUACCGCGGUCCGUGCCCAAGGAUGACAUGAAAAUUUAUGAAGCAUUCCAUAUUCUG
Molecule: small nuclear RNA, 107 nt
Filed under: Prolemur simus (greater bamboo lemur)
Lineage: Eukaryota; Metazoa; Chordata; Mammalia; Primates; Lemuridae
Source: RNAcentral